Molecule: small nucleolar RNA, 212 nt
Filed under: Chinchilla lanigera (long-tailed chinchilla)
Lineage: Eukaryota; Metazoa; Chordata; Mammalia; Rodentia; Chinchillidae
Description: Small nucleolar RNA U3 (ENSCLAG00000021115.1)
Rfam family: Small nucleolar RNA U3
About the family: Small nucleolar RNAs (snoRNAs) are involved in the processing and modification of rRNA in the nucleolus. There are two main classes of snoRNAs: the box C/D class, and the box H/ACA class.
Source: Rfam by way of RNAcentral
UAGUCCAUGCUUGCAGGGAUCAUUUAUACAGUUUGUUGCUACAGAAGUUUGUCGGAACUUGUGGAGCACUGCGAAGCAGGGCGGAGGGGGGCAGUGUUUCUUCUUAAGUAUGAAGCAAAGCGCCAAUGGUGUCACUUAGCUGCAACUGCCUUUUGCCACUAAUGACCAUUCCUUCCCUUGGGGAGGGUGAGAGAGAACACGAUGUGUGUUGG